This is a long non-coding RNA of Vicia villosa (hairy vetch), 2613 nucleotides long. RefSeq lists it as uncharacterized. The transcript is spliced from 5 exons. The record is from RefSeq and is a predicted model, not a curated record. NCBI's taxonomy places the organism in Eukaryota, Viridiplantae, Streptophyta, Magnoliopsida, Fabales, Fabaceae.
AUCAAAAUCCCAUUGAAAAUUUUCUCCAAACUAAACCAUCUUCUUUUCAGUUUACAACUAUUGAUUAUCACCAAAUCGCCUUCAAAUCAGUUUCAUUCAAAUCACCUUCUCAAAUUAAUUUCAUCUUAGGGCUUCAACUCAUCUUCUCAAAUCAAUUUCAUCUUAGGGCUUCAAAUCAUCUUCUGAAAAAGAUUUAGGGUUUCAGCUCGUGAGUAGCCCAGAGCGAACAAAGGAACAUAGCACUUUCAUUGAACGCAACUUUCAGCUUGUGAUUCGGUAUUGGAUUCGCCUAUUUUAGAAGGUAAAUAUUACUGAUAAGUCAAUUUUGAUGUUUUCAAUGCUUAUGAUUAGCAAUAGAUUAUUGUUUAUGAUUCGGUGCUUCGAUUUGACAUUUCAAUUCAAAGUUUCGAUUCAGUGUUUUGAUUUGGUAUUUCCAUUCGGCGUUUUGAUUUAGUAUUUUGAUUCGGCAUUUCGGUUCAGCACUUGAACUAUUUCUGUCAUGUUUUUUGUGUUUAGUGAUGUAUAAAUUUUCAUAUAGGAAGUAGACAAUUCAGUAAUUUGAUCAGUUUUCUAUUAUAGGUUGAUGUAUACGUUAUUUCUAUAAGCAUGCGAAAAUAGAGAAGAAACCUGAUGAAGACUUGUUCUGCCUAUUACCAUUCCCCAUGAUGAUAAAUAGCUAAUGCUUUUUUGCUAUAAGUCACUGUCUUGGUUUUCAAAUGACAAUGUAAUAUCACCUAUUUAUUUAUAAAAGAAACUGUGAAAAUAAGAAUUUGAUAAAGUAGUGGUAAAGAUAACGUAAAUGGUUCAAAUCAAUCUGAGUUGGAAGGUUGUAACAACUUUGAUAGGCACUUUUUCUGUCGUCCGCUAGUUUCGUACAUGAACCUUUUAUAAGUGAAGGUUUUCUACCAAUAGAACACUAUAUGUUGGUUCUUCUUUUGUACUUUUCUUCCUUUGGACAGAUUCACGUUACUUAUUAUUAUUUGACACUUUUCCUACUUCUAAAUCAUCCACCUAAAUUAUGUAUCCACCUAAUGAGACCUUUGGCUAAAGUGUGUUUACCUUUGAAAUCCUAACUCAUAGUGAGAUAACAAUGACAAAAUACUCAUUGUCAAAAUGACAGGGACUGCUUUCUACAUCUAUUGGUAACUCCUCUUCUCAACUUUAAUUUUUCCAUAACAUGUUCAUUUGUUAGAAUAUCAACAUUAAAAUUUAUGUUGUUAAUUUUUGUUAGAAUAUGAUUGGGAUUGCUUUCAAUGGUUAUACUUAUGAGAUCUUAGUUUACCUUUUCAAUGUUUUUAGUUUAUAGUUUCUCCUUACAGACUGUUAUAUCUUUAGGCUUAUUAAAAUAUUUUAUUUACUAUAUCAAUUUUCUAUACAUAGUUUAUGUUAGGGUAUAGAAUCAUGGCUAAUCAUGUUAAUUAAAUUAGUUAUUAUAUUAUUAUACUUUAUUGUGCACAUCUAAGAAUAAGUAUGGAGCAGGGUACUAUGAUAUAUCAGAUGAUUUUCCUGCAUGUUCUUGUCUUCUUGGAAAUAUAUUAGAAACUGUUGGAGUUGCUUUGUCUCAACCUCGUUCAAUAUGGUCUGAGAUAAAAUUAAUGUUGCAGAAUAUAGACUUUGUGGGUUAUAUAAAAGUGCUCAAGACCAAAAUAUUGAAGAAAGAUUAGCAAAAUCUUACUAAACAUUUAUGGUCCGUAUUGUGUAUGAACUUGAUAGGAUACCUCUCUUAAAAGAGUCUAUGAACACAGCGGAAGCACAAAGUGUUGAGAUGCAAGUGAAGGGCAACCAUGCACUAGGUAUCUGCUACUUCUUUCUACUUGUGGGACUAAGAAAAUCAAAGAAUUGCCUUGGAAACUUCAACAAAUUCAUCUUUGAAAAAGGAAAAUGAACUCCAUAUGAAAAUUACGAAGCUUGAGACCAACAUGAAGGAAUGAAGUUGGAAUAGGUGAGUUAUGGAAUCAUGUAGCUAACUAAAUUGGAGACUUAUUAAGUUUGGUAGAUUUUGUUGGUUUCCAAUAUCUGUUGGAGUUCAGGAAGGAACCAAAUGGUUUGGUUUCUAAAAUUAUAAAUGGCUUGCUAUCUGUUCUAGUUUUUGGUAGAAAUGGAAUGCGAUUUUCUUAAAAGCUGGAUUGAGGGAGGCGAAACAAGCGCUAAUUUAUAUCAAGACUUUGUCUUGGUCUUGUUUUGUAUCUUUUCAUAGUCACGAUUUUGAGUGGUGUUGUAAUCAGAUUUCUUGUUUCCAAAGAGUUUAUCUUGCUUGUAAGGGUUGAGUACCCCCUUUACUUUAUGAAUAUAUUUUGAUUCUAACAAAGUUGUAUUUUAGUUUUUUUUUUUGUAGUUUGUUGAAAAUAACUUAUACAAAUGUAAAUUAUUUUUGGGCUUACUACUUAAGUCUAAAUAUAGAAAUGUAUAAAUAAUUUGGUAUAUUUAGAAGGUAAUGUCUCUAUUCUAGAUUUUUUUUCUUUUUUUAAAAAAGUUUAGCCACGGUUAAUAAUUUAAAUUUAAAUAUUUUUGAAAGAUUUAACUACAGGAGAGGCGUGGCUAAAUUAUUUGUUAACCGUGGUAACAUAUUGUUACCACGGUAUCAAUAACGGUGGUUAAGAUAUUGGUAUUGAA